ACCGCAUAACGUCGCAAGACCAAAGUGGGGGACCUUCGGGCCUCUUGCCAUCGGAUGUGCCCAGAUGGGAUUAGCUUGUUGGUGGGGUAACGGCUCACCAAGGCGACGAUCCCUAGCUGGUCUGAGAGGAUGACCAGCCACACUGGAACUGAGACACGGUCCAGACUCCUACGGGAGGCAGCAGUGGGGAAUAUUGCACAAUGGGCGCAAGCCUGAUGCAGCCAUGCCGCGUGUAUGAAGAAGGCCUUCGGGUUGUAAAGUACUUUCAGCGGGGAGGAAGGGAGUAAAGUUAAUACCUUUGCUCAUUGACGUUACCCGCAGAAGAAGCACCGGCUAACUCCGUGCCAGCAGCCGCGGUAAUACGGAGGGUGCAAGCGUUAAUCGGAAUUACUGGGCGUAAAGCGCACGCAGGCGGAUUGUUAAGUCAGAUGUGAAAUCCCCGGGCUCAACCUGGGAACUGCAUCUGAUACUGGCAAGCUUGAGUCUCGUAGAGGGGGGUAGAAUUCCAGGUGUAGCGGUGAAUUGCGUAGAGAUCUGGAGGAAU
RNAcentral lists this ribosomal RNA (544 nucleotides) under Escherichia coli. RNAcentral's name for it is "bacterial SSU rRNA". It matches the Rfam family "Bacterial small subunit ribosomal RNA", at positions 168 to 707 of the family's 1533-position model. The record is from RNAcentral. Lineage: Bacteria; Pseudomonadati; Pseudomonadota; Gammaproteobacteria; Enterobacterales; Enterobacteriaceae.